RNAcentral lists this ribosomal RNA (542 nucleotides) under uncultured Chitinophagaceae bacterium. RNAcentral describes it as "bacterial SSU rRNA". It matches the Rfam family "Bacterial small subunit ribosomal RNA", at positions 355 to 897 of the family's 1533-position model. Lineage: Bacteria; Pseudomonadati; Bacteroidota; Chitinophagia; Chitinophagales; Chitinophagaceae. The record is from RNAcentral.
UAAGGAAUAUUGGUCAAUGGACGCAAGUCUGAACCAGCCAUGCCGCGUGGAGGAUGAAGGUCCUCUGGAUUGUAAACUUCUUUUAUUUGGGAAGAAAUCUAUCUUUUCUUGGAUAGUUGACGGUACCAGAUGAAUAAGCACCGGCUAACUCCGUGCCAGCAGCCGCGGUAAUACGGAGGGUGCAAGCGUUAUCCGGAUUCACUGGGUUUAAAGGGUGCGUAGGUGGGCAGGUAAGUCAGUGGUGAAAUCUCCGGGCUUAACCCGGAAACUGCCAUUGAUACUAUCUGUCUUGAAUACCCUGGAGGUGAGCGGAAUAUGUCAUGUAGCGGUGAAAUGCUUAGAUAUGACAUAGAACACCCAUUGCGAAGGCAGCUCACUACGGGACUAUUGACACUGAGGCACGAAAGCGUGGGGAUCAAACAGGAUUAGAUACCCUGGUAGUCCACGCCCUAAACGAUGGAUACUCGACAUCAGCGAUAAACUGUUGGUGUCUGAGCAAAAGCAUUAAGUAUCCCACCUGGGAAGUACGAUCGCGAGAUUGC